This 280-nucleotide small nuclear RNA is filed under the name Jaculus jaculus (lesser Egyptian jerboa). Its description in RNAcentral is "7SK RNA (ENSJJAG00000005277.1)". It matches the Rfam family "7SK RNA", at positions 1 to 294 of the family's 331-position model. From Rfam's summary of the family: 7SK was discovered as an abundant small nuclear RNA in the mid-70s but a possible function has only recently been suggested. The record is from RNAcentral. Lineage: Eukaryota; Metazoa; Chordata; Mammalia; Rodentia; Dipodidae.
GGAUGUGAGGGCGAUCUGGCUUCGACAUCUGUCACCCCAUUGAUCGCCAGGGCUGAUUCAGCUGAUCUGGCUGGCUAGACGGGUGUCCCCUUGCUCCCUCAUGGCUCCAUGUGUGUCCCUCCAGAGAUGCCAAGCUGUAUGCUCUGUCCAAGAGGAUGUGCUCCCUUCCCCUGCUAGAACCUCCCAACAAGCUCUCGAGAUCACACACAAGAUCACAUUCUUCACAGAUGAGAAGGACAGAAUUAAAGUAGGAGGAACAGUUCAUUUUCUGGGUUAACUC